GACGAACGCUGGCGGCGUGCUUAACACAUGCAAGUCGAACGGAAAGGCCCUGCUUUUGUGGGGUGCUCGAGUGGCGAACGGGUGAGUAACACGUGAGUAACCUGCCCUUGACUUUGGGAUAACUUCAGGAAACUGGGGCUAAUACCGGAUAGGAGCUCCUGCUGCAUGGUGGGGGUUGGAAAGUUUCGGCGGUUGGGGAUGGACUCGCGGCUUAUCAGCUUGUUGGUGGGGUAGUGGCUUACCAAGGCUUUGACGGGUAGCCGGCCUGAGAGGGUGACCGGCCACAUUGGGACUGAGAUACGGCCCAGACUCCUACGGGAGGCAGCAGUGGGGAAUAUUGCACAAGGGGCGGAGGCCGGAUGAAGAAGCGCCGCGUGCGGGAUGAAGGCUUUCGGGUUGUAACCCGCUUUCGCCUGUGACGAAGCGUGAGUGACGGUAAUGGGUAAAGAAGCACCGGCUAACUACGU
This 467-nucleotide ribosomal RNA is filed under the name uncultured bacterium. Its description in RNAcentral is "partial 16S ribosomal RNA". It matches the Rfam family "Bacterial small subunit ribosomal RNA", at positions 28 to 506 of the family's 1533-position model. The record is from RNAcentral.